Bombus pyrosoma is the source of this 124-nucleotide small nuclear RNA. RefSeq annotates it as U5 spliceosomal RNA. The record is from RefSeq and is a predicted model, not a curated record. The transcript has a single exon. NCBI's taxonomy places the organism in Eukaryota, Metazoa, Arthropoda, Insecta, Hymenoptera, Apidae.
UCAUUCUGGUUUCCCUUCAAUGACGUAUAAAUCUUUCGCCUUUUACUAAAGAUUUCCGUGGAGGGGAACGAUUGAUGAAGUCUAUAGAUAGAAUUUUUUGUACGACCUGGCGCAAGCUAGGUCA